This is an RNA transcript of Juglans regia (Persian walnut), 1816 nucleotides long. RefSeq lists it as uncharacterized. The transcript has 6 exons. NCBI's taxonomy places the organism in Eukaryota, Viridiplantae, Streptophyta, Magnoliopsida, Fagales, Juglandaceae. The record is from RefSeq and is a predicted model, not a curated record.
CAACUGUAAUCCAACAGAUCAGGUGAAUGCAGAAAAAACAGGUAAGAAUGAUGUUGUUAUCAUGAUUAACUUUUACAUAAACACAAACCAGUAGACAUUAUUUAUUUAGGCUUGACAAGUUAGUGGACAAACCAGUAGAAUCUGAGCUUAUUACAAGUUUUCAAUCUCUCAUAAUUAAAUGGUUGGUAUAUACGUGUUUUUGGAGAUGAUAAGUUUGAAUAUUUCUAUAACUAGACUGGGCUACAGUUGCAACAUUCAGUAGUUAUAUGGUGAUGAUUGGUAUAUAAAGCUUAUUGGAAGUUAAAAGUCUGAAUAUUUCUAUGGUUGGUGUAUACAACUUAUUGGAACUUAUAAGGCCGAAUAUUUCUAUAACUAGUGCCAGCUUAUUGCAACAUGCAAUAGUUAUAUUUCUAUGGUUGGUAUGUUGGAUCUUAUUGCAACUUAAAAGUCAAAAGACUCUAUGGUUGGUAUACAAAGCUUAUUGCAAAAUAAAAGUCUGAAAAUUUCAAUGGUUCGUAUGUAAAGCUUAUUGCAACUUAUUUAGUGUAAUGUAUUUUUAUGCUUGGUAUAUAUAGUACAAAGGAGUAGUACACGUGGUAGGGGUGUAGCCAAAGGGAUGGAAUUUGAGAGGCUGCGAAAGUAUGGCAAGAUACCACUUGAGAUAAAAGAUGGGAAGACAGGCCCAAGCUGUAACAACAGGACAGUCUACACAACGAGAGUGACGUAGAUCGUCAAGCACUGUGCAGAAAUGAGACAUGUUAGCUUGAGUGUCGUUGACGUAAAGGAAAAAGAUGAACUGAUUGAUCGAGUUCGAGCUGAUUUUGUAUUGGAUUGGACAAAGAAAAAUCAUCGUCGGACAGUCACAACUCAGCUAUCACGUGCAUACAAUGCGUUUCAUUACAUGUUGUACCGAAAAUAUAGGGAAUAUGCAACACAUGAGGAGGCAUUAGUUAAUGGAGGUUCAAUGGUAGAGAGACCAGUUUGGGAGUGGUUAUGCAGUCGAUGGGCUAGUGUUGAAUUCAAGAAAAUGUCCACUCAAAACAAAGAGAAUAGGUGUAAACAAAGGGUCAACCACACGAGCGGAAGGACAUCGUUUGUUGUACUAAUGGAAAGAAGGAAGGACCGAAAUCUAAUUGAUUUCUACAAGGAUGCGCACUGGUCAAAUAAAAAGGGCAGAUUCAUCACACCAACCACGGAAGAGAAUUAUAAUCAAAUGGUUGAAUUGAUGAAUGCAAACGAACCAGAGUAUCGCACUGAUGAAGCAGCAGCAGCCAUUUUUAGGGAGGUUCUGGGGCAUAGGUCUGGCUAUUCUAGAGGGCUAGGCCACUCUGUUAUGCCAGAAUCAUCUACAGUUCCUGGAGUGACCAAUGAAGAGUAUGAACGCCUUGCUGAGGAAAAUGCACUGAAUCUGAAAAAUGCUGAGUAUUACAAAAAUCGGAUGCCUGAUAUUGAAGGUGGUUUCGCUGCUAUGAGGGACCAUAUGGAGGAGUAUGAGCAACGUGUCAACAUUACAAUGUCAGAACUAAGGACACAAUUAGAGUCUCAGAGAGAGACUCAAUCCACAGAUCCUUAGCCCCAAUGAAUAUGUCAGCAGUUACUCAUGAGUAUUUUGUAUUUUGUAUUUUGACCUACAGCUAUACUUUUGAUGAAGGUGUCAUGGGGAGAUCAGUAGAAAAAAAUACUUUUGUUCAGCACAGCUAGGGAAAUCUUCUAUUGAUGGAGAGGGUCAAGAAAAAUAGGUCAAAUCACCUUCCAAGGGUAUCCUACCGGUAGUGCUGAUUUUAUUUUGCUCUAGGCAAGACCCCAACAACUCUCA